RNAcentral lists this ribosomal RNA (440 nucleotides) under uncultured bacterium. RNAcentral describes it as "partial 16S ribosomal RNA". It matches the Rfam family "Bacterial small subunit ribosomal RNA", at positions 338 to 795 of the family's 1533-position model. The record is from RNAcentral.
CCUACGGGUGGCAGCAGUGGGGAAUAUUGGACAAUGGGGGGAACGCUGAUCCAGCGACGCCGCGUGAGUGAAGAAGUAUCUCGGUAUGUAAAGCCCUAUUAGCCGGGAAGAAAAUGACGGUACCUGACAAAGAUGCACCGGCUAAAUACGUGCCAGCAGCCGCGGUAAAAUGUAGGGGGCAACGGUUAUCCGGAUUUUCUGGGUGUAAAGGGAGCGUAGAGGGUGUAGCAAGUCUGAUGGGAAAGGUCCGGGCCCAAACCCCGGACUGCAUUGGAAACUGUAGACCUUGAGUACAGGAGAGGUAAGCGGAAUUCCUGGUGUAGCGGUGAAAUGCAUAGAUAUUAGGAGGAACACCAGUGGCGAAGGCGGCUUACUGGACUGUAACUGACGUUGAGGCACGAAAGCGUGGGGAGCGAACAGGAUUAGAUACCCGAGUAGUC